Long non-coding RNA from Homarus americanus (American lobster), 548 nucleotides. RefSeq lists it as uncharacterized. The record is from RefSeq and is a predicted model, not a curated record. The transcript is spliced from 2 exons. Lineage: Eukaryota; Metazoa; Arthropoda; Malacostraca; Decapoda; Nephropidae.
UGGAUAGACCUUAUGUCAGACCCAAACAAACUCACUUGGCAUAGAAGCUCACCAUAAUAUUCUGGACAAAUAUCACCUUAUUAGUGAUUGGAAAAUAGGUGAUACAGUAGGUACAGUGCCAUGUAUAUAAAGGGUCUGGAAUUUACCUGGAAGAGAACCAAUCCAAAUGUUGUGGAACACUGUACAGUACUGUACAUGUUCCCUGCUGCUGUCAGAGAAUUUAACACCAACAAGUUGGAUCCCCAAGUCUUGACACUUCACUCCUUAGACUUGACUGGUUCUGUAUGAGAACCCUGAUAAUUAUGCUCAGAAAACGAAAUUUCAGAAGCAUUUCUCCAAUUAAAUCAAGAAAAGGCAAGUUGCCUUCAGCAAGAUUGGGUAGGGUGCAUAAAGGGCUACUGUACUUCCCUUAGUCCUUAUAUCUAAGGGUUGGCGACCACAGUCCUGUACUCUAAUGCUUUCAGGUUGUUUUUACCAAUUCUCCAAGGUCCUGCACCUCUCUGGUGACCUGUUUUUAAUAUCAUUCAUCCAUCCCGGUCUCUGGUAUU